GCAUAUCAAUAAGCGGAGGAAAAGAAACCAACCGGGAUUGCCUUAGUAACGGCGAGUGAAGCGGCAAAAGCUCAAAUUUGAAAUCUGGUACCUUCGGUGCCCGAGUUGUAAUUUGGAGAGGGCAACUUUGGGGCCGUUCCUUGUCUAUGUUCCUUGGAACAGGACGUCAUAGAGGGUGAGAAUCCCGUGUGGCGAGGAGUGCGGUUCUUUGUAAAGUGCCUUCGAAGAGUCGAGUUGUUUGGGAAUGCAGCUCUAAGUGGGUGGUAAAUUCCAUCUAAAGCUAAAUAUUGGCGAGAGACCGAUAGCGAACAAGUACAGUGAUGGAAAGAUGAAAAGAACUUUGAAAAGAGAGUGAAAAAGUACGUGAAAUUGUUGAAAGGGAAGGGCAUUUGAUCAGACAUGGUGUUUUGUGCCCUCUGCUCCUUGUGGGUAGGGGAAUCUCGCAUUUCACUGGGCCAGCAUCAGUUUUGGUGGCAGGAUAAAUCCAUAGGAAUGUAGCUUGCCUCGGUAAGUAUUAUAGCCCGUGGGAAUACUGCCAGCUGGGACUGAGGACUGCGACGUAAGUCAAGGAUGCUGGCAUAAUGGUUAUAUGCCGCCCGUCUUGAAACACGGACC
RNAcentral lists this ribosomal RNA (615 nucleotides) under uncultured yeast. RNAcentral's name for it is "eukaryotic LSU rRNA". It matches the Rfam family "Eukaryotic large subunit ribosomal RNA", at positions 38 to 667 of the family's 3401-position model. Lineage: Eukaryota; Fungi. The record is from RNAcentral.